AGGAAAUUAGUUUAAGAAAAACCUUUGAUUUCGGCUCAAAAACUUGUGGUUAGAGUCCAUAAUUGCCUA
Molecule: transfer RNA, 69 nt
Filed under: Icelinus borealis (northern sculpin)
Lineage: Eukaryota; Metazoa; Chordata; Actinopteri; Perciformes; Cottidae
Description: tRNA-Arg
Rfam family: tRNA
About the family: Transfer RNA (tRNA) molecules are approximately 80 nucleotides in length. Their secondary structure includes four short double-helical elements and three loops (D, anti-codon, and T loops).
Source: RNAcentral